Molecule: long non-coding RNA, 821 nt
Organism: Homo sapiens (human)
Lineage: Eukaryota; Metazoa; Chordata; Mammalia; Primates; Hominidae
Source: Ensembl
GUACUGGCUUUUUCUUUGCCUUCUACCAUAAUUAUCUGUUUCCUGAGGCCUCCGCAGAAUCCAAGCAGAUGCCAGCAUCAUGCCUGCUGUACAUCCCACAGAACUGUUAGAAAAUAUCCAGAAAAAAUUGUGAAUAAAUCAGAGGAGAAAUGGACAUUACCCAGAUGUCAGGCUUGAAGCUUCAUAAAGUAACUGAAGAGAAUUUGGAAAACAUUGACCCUUGAACAACACAGGUUGAACUGUGUGAGUACACUGAAAAAUGGAUUUUAUUCCACCUCUGCCACCCCUGAGACAACAAGACCAACCCCGUUGUCUUCCUCCUCAUCAGCCUAUUCAAUAUAAGGACAACCAGGAUGAAGACCUUUAUUAUGAUCCACUUCCACUUACUGAACAAGGUUCUUCUUGGAAUCUUCCUAAUGUUUCAGGCAUAACUGUUCACCUCAUGUUUAUAAGACUUUGAAUUUUUACAUAAAAAAGAGGAAGACUGAGAUAUCAUGCAAUGCCAGCAUCAUUAUAUAUCUUGAACUCAGACAAAAUGACAGAGACUGCAUGUCUCCCCUACCUCGUGUCAAACUCUAACUUCCUGGUAAUGAAAUGAAUGAACUGUGGCCACAUACCACUAGAUUUCAUGGAUAGCUCUGUUGACUUGAGAAAAAUUGAAUUCUGAAGGGGCAGAGUUGCUGACAGAUGUCACAUCAGACUCUCACGUGAACACAUACUAUUAGUAUAUACUAAGGGAAAGAAAAGAUAUACUUACAUGUGUUCAGUAGUGAUGUGAAACUGGAUGCUCUCAUCUCCAAAUAAAAACACGUGGCUUCUUU